GAUGAACGCUGGCGGCGUGCUUAACACAUGCAAGUCGAACGAACAGAGGAGAGCUUGCUCUCCAAAGUUAGUGGCGGACGGGUGAGUAACGCGUGGGUAACCUGCCCUAUGCAGGGGGAUAACGUUUGGAAACGAACGCUAAUACCGCAUAAACUAUCGGUAGUCGCAUGACUACUAUAGCAAAGAUUUAUCGGCAUAGGAUGGACCCGCGUUGGAUUAGCUAGUUGGUGAGAUAACAGCCCACCAAGGCAACGAUCCAUAGCCGGCCUGAGAGGGUGAACGGCCACAUUGGGACUGAGACACGGCCCAAACUCCUACGGGAGGCAG
RNAcentral lists this ribosomal RNA (327 nucleotides) under uncultured Bacillota bacterium. RNAcentral describes it as "bacterial SSU rRNA". It matches the Rfam family "Bacterial small subunit ribosomal RNA", at positions 28 to 351 of the family's 1533-position model. The record is from RNAcentral. Lineage: Bacteria; Bacillati; Bacillota.